GAGAGACAACAGGGAUUGCCCCAGUAACGGCGAGUGAAGCGGCAACAGCUCAAAUUUGAAAUCUGGCUCUCGGGCCCGAGUUGUAAUUUGUAGAGGAUGCUUUUGGUGAGGUGCCUUCCGAGUUCCCUGGAACGGGACGCCAUAGAGGGUGAGAGCCCCGUCUGGUUGGACGCCGAACCUCUGUAAAGCUCCUUCGACGAGUCGAGUAGUUUGGGAAUGCUGCUCUAAAUGGGAGGUAUAUGUCUUCUAAAGCUAAAUACCGGCCAGAGACCGAUAGCGCACAAGUAGAGUGAUCGAAAGAUGAAAAGAACUUUGAAAAGAGAGUUAAACAGUACGUGAAAUUGUUGAAAGGGAAGCGCUUGUGACCAGACUUGGGCUUGGUUGAUCAUCCGGGGUUCUCCCCGGUGCACUCUUCCGGCCCAGGCCAGCAUCAGUUCGCCCUGGGGGACAAAGGCAUCGGGAACGUGGCUCUCUCCGGGGAGUGUUAUAGCCCGUUGCGUAAUACCCUGUGGCGGACUGAGGUUCGCGCAUUCGCAAGGAUGCUGGCGUAAUGGUCAUCAGUGACCCGUCUUGAAACACGGACCAAGGAGUCGUCUUCGUAUGCGAGUGUUCGGGUGUCAAACCCCUACGCGAAAUGAAAGUGAACGCAGGUGAGAGCUUCGGCGCAUCAUCGACCGAUCCUGAUGUUUUCGGAUGGAUUUGAGUAAGAGCAUACGGGGCCGGACCCGAAAGAAGGUGAACUAUGCCUGUGUAGGGUGAAGCCAGAGGAAACUCUGGUGGAGGCUCGCAGCGGUUCUGACGUGCAAAUCGAUCGUCAAACAUGGGCAUGGGGGCGAAAGACUAAUCGA
Molecule: ribosomal RNA, 848 nt
Filed under: Fusarium cf. solani
Lineage: Eukaryota; Fungi; Ascomycota; Sordariomycetes; Hypocreales; Nectriaceae
Description: partial large subunit ribosomal RNA
Rfam family: Eukaryotic large subunit ribosomal RNA
Source: RNAcentral